Molecule: ribosomal RNA, 206 nt
Filed under: uncultured bacterium
Lineage: Bacteria
Description: partial 16S ribosomal RNA
Rfam family: Bacterial small subunit ribosomal RNA
Source: RNAcentral
UGCGUAGGCGGUCGCGCAAGUCGGAUGUGAAAUCUCAGGGCUCAACCCUGAAACUGCAUUCGAUACUGCGUGGCUAGAGUGCUGGAGAGGAGACUGGAAUUUACGGUGUAGCAGUGAAAUGCGUAGAUAUCGUAAGGAAGACCAGUGGCGAAGGCGAGUCUCUGGACAGCAACUGCGCUGAGGCACGAAGGCCAGGGGAGCAAACG